AACAAAGCUCUUUUCCACCAGUAAUUACGGCACCACAAUGAUUGUAACUAGAUCGAUCGGAAGAUUCACGAAUCCAUUUUGUUUAAGACAGAUCAUUUUUAGGAAUGUCCUAGGUAUGUUCCUCUAACCUAAGUGCCACCUCUUCCCUCCAAUUCUCUGUUUUUGAUUCGUUAAGUUUGAGAUUCAUUGAUUUAUCUUGUUCAUUACCAUUUAUGUUUUUAGGCUUCUUGUGUUGAAACUUCGAUUCUUGAGAAUUUGUAUAGUCGGGGUUCAUCUAUGACCAAUCUGCUAUUUCUCCGUUUUUUCUCCAUUCAAAUGAUGUUCUAAUAAUCCAUUAGAUGUGUUGUUAUUGAUUUGUUCCCUUUGAAAUUCGAGUUGAUAUAGUUUUACAUGAUUUGCUUUUGUUGAUUCUUAAAAUGCUUAGAAAUAUUGUUAGUAUUUGGUUAUUUUAAGUAACUUUGAUAUGUAAUUGAUAUUAUUGUGCUCCACUCUUCCAUUUAGUUCCAUCGCAUUGGUUGAUUUAGAAUAUUUCCGUAAUUUAAGUUAAUUGUGGUAAGGUUGUCACUUUUAAAAGAAUGAUUAUGUUAAGAACUUGAUAUUUGGGUACUCUUUGGUCACUUUAAUAAGCUUAAGUCUUUCCUUUUGACAGUAACAACAUGUUUGGACAACUAUUGAUGUUAUGUCUUCCUUAUUAAAUUUUAGUUUCGUACAUAUAUGAUUUUGGUAAAUUUUAGUAUGCUUUCUUUUCCUUAAUUAUGAUUUACUGCUUUCUAUUCAUAAGCAUGAGAUUUACUCGUGCUAUUCAUGGUAAAAUAUAGCAGGAUUAAUUGAUUUAUUUGGGUGAAUUUCUUAACCUAUUUAUAGUAACACUGAUCUAAUUUUUGGCUUGGACUGAUUUUGCUCAUCUUAAUAGGAUAAAUUUUUCUUUGAUUGAUUUUUUCCAGAUUUCUCUCAUUAUGUCUAUGAUUGACUAUAGUCUUUUAUAUAUAAGCAUGGCCUAAUGCUCUUCUUUGGAGACUUUUUUACACUCUAGACAUGAGAACACAUUUUUACUUUCUCAUUUGAGCAUACUCUCAAAAGCACUAAAGAUUCUGGCGUAUUACUGAAAGAAGUUUCUUCAUUUUGGCUACUACACGAGGUUUGGCUUCGAGCUUUCAUAUCAAGUUUUGCGUUGCUUAGUAACUUAUCUACGUAUCCGGUUAGUAAUUCUUACUAGAAUAAGUUUAACACUUGCAUAUAGUAUAGUAUUACUUUAAGGUUUUUUGCACAAAUUCAUAUUAACUUUAAAGGAAGCGUCCAAGUGAGUUUUCUUUUACUUUUGCCUAGUAUUAGAUAUGUUUCACCUUUUCAUAUCUUUUGAUUGAUAUGUGAAGUCUUUGUUUUGAAAAUUUAGAUUAUUAAUUGUUAUUUUAUUUGACUACAUGAAUAUAACUGUCUGCAAUAUUAUUAUAGUUUAAUAUGAAGUUUAAAGACAUAUUUAAGAGAACCCGUGGAUGGGGCUUACCAGAUGGAGUCAACUUUGCUUAAAUUUUUAUUCGUUUGUAUUACUUGUUACUUUUGACUUGUAAAAAUAAUGUAACGAAACUCUACUCUCUGUAUAUAUUAAAUAUUUGGGGACUAUCUAAGGGGGAGGGGAACUAACGUGCUACUUGUGUUUAUCUUCUGUCGUAAUUUAUGUGUGGCUUUAGUACAUAAAUAUCCCUACGUGUGUUAACUAUUUAAACAUAUAAAAUCAUGUGCCACUAACUCUCUGCUAGGACCCAAUUUUAAAUGUUAAUUUAAAGGCAAUUUCAGGGUAAUUUCACAAACUCUGUUUAAUUAAGAGUAUUCUGCCUACUGUUAUUAUCAUGAAUAUUACCUAAUAUUGUUUACUUUCACAUAUAGUAUUUAAAGAAAAAUGGUCUACUAUCAGCAUAUUAAUUGCUUAAUCUUAGCAUGGAUUAAUGGUCCACUACCAGUGUGUAAUCAAGUCCUUCUUACAUAUACUUUUAUAAUUAUGAAAAUGUGCCACUAUUGCUUCUUAGUAAAAACCUUUAAUAAAUCUAUUACAUGCUCCCCUCAUUCCAAUUGCUAAUCAACUUGUUGUUGUGUUGUUGAAAUAGUCUAAAAGCCUAACUAGUUAUAACGUGCCCUUUGUUAGGUAUCAUAAUUUAGGAUUAUCGUUUUGAUUUUUAUCACAACAUAUUUAAAAUGGCCUUUGUCAAGUUUUGAGAAUUACUCUGUAUAAAACCAUGUCUAUAUGAAUUAUGUAAUAUAUUUAUCAUGUUAAUUAAUUAGAUAUCACGUCCAUAUGCCUUUGUUAAACAGUUUUCAAUAUAUUAAUUCACAUGGACAUCAUGCCUAUAAGUUUUAAUGCAUUAUGAAAAGCUAGCAUGCUAAUAACUAAAAUUUUCAUAAAUGUAUCUCUUUAAUUACAAUUAGCCUAUUAAAAUUGUCCCUAUUGUCUCACUUUGCUUCCACAUUAUUCAAGUUUUGCACUAUGACUUAUAUAUCUGAUUAUGUAUGCACACACAACUCUAUCAUGAUCCUUCACUACUUAUUUGUGUUUUCAAGUAUGCUAAAUAGCUAAAUUAGAGGCCCAUUUAAGAUUUUAUGUGCUAAGUCUUUGUCCUACCUAUUUUGCUUGACGCUUAAGGUCUAAUUAGGAAUCUUAUGAUUUGUUUAAGUCUAAAACCUACCAUUUAGUUAUCCCAAUGUCUCUUGGGCAUUAAGUUGGGACGCGAGACACCUUUUAGGACGUCUAGUUUUAUGAUUUCUUUAGUUUGCUUUAGGAUUUUAAUAAUAAAUGAACUUAGGAGGGAGUAGGGGUAGAUAGGCCCUUUUAGAAAUGAUGUAAGUUGACUCGAGCAAAAAAUGAUAAACUCUAAUUUGCCUUCCGAUUAAUAAGCCGGACGUUGAUCCGAGAAGGAUAGUUUUAGAUUUAAGUUUCAUUUUUCUUGUCUUUUAUAUUUAUUAUUUGUAUUUAUUUAGGGUAAUAAUUAAUUUAAAAUAAUAUUUUUUUUGAUAAAAAUAAUGAUUCUAUCUUCUUGAUUAUCUUCUCUAUUUAUGUUUUCAUGUUUAUUUCCGACUUGUCUUAUAAUUAAUUUUCUAUCUCUAUCACUUAAUUUAAUUUACCAAUAAAUAAAUAAAUAGUGACCUUAUUUGCCACAUGUAUAACCCCCACAAAAAUGUAUGAGAUACGACUAGGAUCUACAUUUGUGGACCUCAAAAGGUUCUUAACACCUUCUGUUUGAGGUAAUUUGAACAUUGAUCACUGGUUCGUUGACCCUUUAAAAUUAAUUUAGUAUUAGUUAGGUUCCCAAACACACAUUUAAUUUGUUAGGUGGUGACUCUAUUUUAAAUUAAAUCCUUAAAGAGUUGUCACAUUGUUGAACAACCCAUUUUGUGAAAAAAUGGGGCGUGACAGCAUGACGACACUACUAGAAAGAAUCCUAAAAGAUUUGUCACGUCAUUGCAAACCCAUUUUGCAAAAAAUGAGGCGCGACACUUAUUCUUUAUAUUGUAUUCAAAGAUAGCCUAUACUUAUUUUGUAUUUGUAAAAUUCGUGUACUAUUAUUUUGAUUAGACACUUGAUUACUAACUGAUGGUAGGUCUUCGGAUGGUUCCUUGUAUUACGUUUCUGUUGAUUACCCUUUCUUUGCUUGGUUAUAAGCUUUAUGUGUAACGACACUCAAAAUAAAGUAGGAUAAAGUAGAGCCUCACAUGAGUUUUAUGCAUUAAUAACUUAUUAAAAUAAUGAAGAAUAGCCUUUUUAGUCAGUUUUAAAGAGUUUGGAAGUCAAACAUCAAGGGACGACCAAGACGUUCGGAAACUAGUCUUUUACGUGUUGGUGUGUUCUACUAUGUUGUUCAUGUUUUUAUGUGUUGUUUGGAGUCUAAAAUCAGUAGAGGUGACCCUAGUGUCUUAAUAAAUGUUUUCAGGGUCAAAACGUUCGGAUACGAAACCCCGGGGGCCACCCUAAGGGUCCCCGAAUAGGACCCAAACCUUGGCCAAGGCAGCUUGAGAUUGUGCUUAGAGAGUGCAUGUCCGCGUCGCGGACUAGCUCCACCAAGGGCCAAAAGUUUGGUCCGCAUCGCGGACAUGUCGC
This 4087-nucleotide long non-coding RNA is filed under the name Solanum tuberosum (potato). RNAcentral's name for it is "long non-coding RNA (STUB_LNC002661)". Lineage: Eukaryota; Viridiplantae; Streptophyta; Magnoliopsida; Solanales; Solanaceae. The record is from RNAcentral.